GAUCAUGGCUCAGGAUGAACGCUGGCGGCGUGCUUAACACAUGCAAGUCGAGCGAAGCAAUUUAAGUGAAGUUUUCGGAUGGAUCUUAGAUUGACUGAGCGGCGGACGGGUGAGUAACGCGUGGAUAACCUGCCUCACACAGGGGGAGUAACAGUUAGAAAUGACUGCUAAUACCGCAUAAGCGCACAGUACCGCAUGGUAUAGUGUGAAAACUACCGUGGU
This 222-nucleotide ribosomal RNA is filed under the name uncultured bacterium. RNAcentral describes it as "partial 16S ribosomal RNA". It matches the Rfam family "Bacterial small subunit ribosomal RNA", at positions 15 to 219 of the family's 1533-position model. The record is from RNAcentral.